AUUUUCUGCCACCGAAUACAUUAGCAUGGGAUAAUGGAAUAGGACCCUGUCCUCCUAUUUUCAGUUGGUUUUGGCAGCGCGAGGACUAGGGUAAUGAUUAAUAGGGAUAGUUGGGGGCAUUAAUAUUUAAUUGUCAGAGGUGAAAUUCUUGGAUUUAUGAAAGAUUAACUUCUGCGAAAGCAUCUGCCAAGGAUGUUUUCAUUAAUCAAGAACGAAAGUUAGGGGAUCGAAGACGAUCAGAUACCGUCGUAGUCUUAACCAUAAACSAUGCCGACCAGCGAUUAGGAGACGUUGAAUACAAAACACCACCAUCGGYGCGGUCGUCCUUGGCGUCUCGGYCCUUSRGSGGGCCSGGGCGCGGGGGUGGCUUAKGCCGGUGGYRCCKGUGAAUGACUCCC
This 398-nucleotide ribosomal RNA is filed under the name Acanthamoeba genotype T4. RNAcentral's name for it is "partial 18S ribosomal RNA". The stretch from base 1 to 341 matches the Rfam family "Eukaryotic small subunit ribosomal RNA", at positions 795 to 1125 of the family's 1831-position model. The record is from RNAcentral. Lineage: Eukaryota; Discosea; Longamoebia; Acanthamoebidae.